CAGCAGCCGCGGUAAUACCGAGGGUGCGAGCGUUAAUCGGAUUUACUGGGCGUAAAGCGUGCGUAGGCGGCUUCUUAAGUCGGAUGUGAAAUCCCUGAGCUUAACUUAGGAAUUGCAUUCGAUACUGGGAAGCUAGAGUAUGGGAGAGGAUGGUAGAAUUCCAGGUGUAGCGGUGAAAUGCGUAGAGAUCUGGAGGAAUACCGAUGGCGAAGGCAGCCAUCUGGCCUAAUACUGACGCUGAGGUACGAAAGCAUGGGGAGCAAACAGGAUUAGAUACCCCCGUAGUCCCUGUCUCUUAUAC
Molecule: ribosomal RNA, 301 nt
Filed under: uncultured bacterium
Lineage: Bacteria
Description: partial 16S ribosomal RNA
Rfam family: Bacterial small subunit ribosomal RNA
Source: RNAcentral